This 697-nucleotide ribosomal RNA is filed under the name Russula afrodelica. RNAcentral's name for it is "eukaryotic LSU rRNA". The stretch from base 257 to 410 matches the Rfam family "5.8S ribosomal RNA". Lineage: Eukaryota; Fungi; Basidiomycota; Agaricomycetes; Russulales; Russulaceae. The record is from RNAcentral.
AAAAGUCGUAACAAGGUUUCCGUAGGUGAACCUGCGGAAGGAUCAUUAUCGUACAACGGAGGCACGAGGGCUGUCGCUGACUCUAAAGGUCGUGCACGCCCCCGAGUCCUCUCUCACAUGUCCAUCUCACCCUUUGUGCAUCACCGCGUGGGUCCCCUUUUGGUUCGUUCCAAAGGGGUGCUCGCGUUUUUAAUACAAACACUUUUUUUGUACUGCAGUGUAGAAUGUCCUUUAUGCGGUGACACGCAAUCAAUACAACUUUCAACAACGGAUCUCUUGGCUCUCGCAUCGAUGAAGAACGCAGCGAAAUGCGAUACGUAAUGUGAAUUGCAGAAUUCAGUGAAUCAUCGAAUCUUUGAACGCACCUUGCGCCCCUUGGCAUUCCGAGGGGCACACCCGUUUGAGUGUCGUGACAUCCUCAACCUUCUCGGUUUCUUGAUCUGGAAGGCUUGGAAUUUGGAGGUUUUUGCUGGUCUCUCUUGAAGCCAGCUCCUCUUAAAUGAAUUAGUGGGGUACACUUUGCUGAUCCUUGACGUGUUAAGAUGUUUCUACGUCUUGGGUAUUGCUCUGUCCCUUUGGGGGUUGGAACCCACUUCCAACUGUCUCUUCGAGACACUGUUCGGGCCUCAUCAGCUCGAUCCACGGAACCUUGACCUCAAAUCGGGUGAGACUACCCGCUGAACUUAAGCAUAUCAAU